UACGGGGGGAGCAAGCGUUGUUCGGAUUUACUGGGCGUAAAGGGCGCGUAGGCGGCCACCGCAAGUCGACUGUGAAAUCUCCGGGCUUAACCCGGAAAGGUCAGCCGAUACUGCGGGGCUAGAGUGCAGAAGGGGCAACUGGAAUUCUCGGUGUAGCGGUGAAAUGCGUAGAUAUCGGGAGGAACACCAGUGGCGAAGGCGACUACCUGGCCUGUUCUUGACGCUGAGGCGCGAAAGCUAGGGGAGCAAACGGG
RNAcentral lists this ribosomal RNA (254 nucleotides) under uncultured bacterium. Its description in RNAcentral is "partial 16S ribosomal RNA". It matches the Rfam family "Bacterial small subunit ribosomal RNA", at positions 524 to 776 of the family's 1533-position model. The record is from RNAcentral.